Molecule: ribosomal RNA, 329 nt
Filed under: uncultured eukaryote
Lineage: Eukaryota
Description: partial 18S ribosomal RNA
Rfam family: Eukaryotic small subunit ribosomal RNA
Source: RNAcentral
CCCUUAGAUGUUCUGGGCCGCACGCGCGCUACACUGAUGCAUUCAACGAGUCUAAAACCUGCUCUGAUAGGGGUGGGUAAUCUUUUGAAUGUGCAUCGUGAUUGGGAUAGAUGAUUGCAAUUUUUCAUCUUCAACGAGGAAUGCCUAGUAAACGCAAGUCAUCAGCUUGCAUUGAUUACGUCCCUGCCCUUUGUACACACCGCCCGUCGCUCCUACCGAUUGAAUGAUCCGAUGAAUAUCAUGGAUUGAGGAUGCAAGUAGGUUCGCCUAUCUUCACCUUCGAGAAGUGAAGUAAAUCUUAUCAUUUAGAGGAAGGAGAAGUCGUAACA